This 253-nucleotide ribosomal RNA is filed under the name uncultured bacterium. RNAcentral's name for it is "partial 16S ribosomal RNA". It matches the Rfam family "Bacterial small subunit ribosomal RNA", at positions 524 to 776 of the family's 1533-position model. The record is from RNAcentral.
UACGAAGGGGGCUAGCGUUGCUCGGAAUUACUGGGCGUAAAGGGCGCGUAGGCGGAUACUUAAGUCGGGGGUGAAAGCCCAGGGCUCAACCCUGGAACAGCCUUCGAUACUGGGUAUCUUGAGUACGGGAGAGGUGUGUGGAACUCCGAGUGUAGAGGUGAAAUUCGUAGAUAUUCGGAAGAACACCAGUGGCGAAGGCGACACACUGGCCUGUUACUGACGCUGAGGCGCGAAAGCGUGGGGAGCAAACAGG